This 450-nucleotide ribosomal RNA is filed under the name uncultured Glomus. RNAcentral's name for it is "SSU rRNA". It matches the Rfam family "Eukaryotic small subunit ribosomal RNA", at positions 569 to 1025 of the family's 1831-position model. Lineage: Eukaryota; Fungi; Glomeromycota; Glomeromycetes; Glomerales; Glomeraceae. The record is from RNAcentral.
AGCAGCCGCGGUAAUUCCAGCUCCAAUAGCGUAUAUUAAAGUUGUUGCAGUUAAAAAGCUCGUAGUUGAAUUUCGAGACCGGUCUACUGGUCGUGCUUUUGUACGUACUGGUUUUAUUGGUUUCUCCUUUCUGACGAACUAUAAUGCCAUUAAUUUGGUGUUAUGGGGAAUCAGGACUGUUACUUUGAAAAAUUAGAGUGUUUAAAGCAGGCUCACGCUUGAAUACAUUAGCAUGGAAUAACGGAAUAGGACGUUUGAUUCUAUUUUGUUGGUUUCUAGGAUCGACGUAAUGAUUAAUAGGGAUAGUUGGGGGCAUUAGUAUUCAAUUGUCAGAGGUGAAAUUCUUGAAUUUAUUGAAGACUAACUACUGCGAAAGCAUUUGCCAAGGAUGUUUUCAUUAAUCAAGAACGAAAGUUAGGGGAUCGAAGACGAUCAGAUACCGUCGUAGUC